AUUGAACGCUGGCGGCAGGCCUAACACAUGCAAGUCGAACGGUAGCAGGAAGAAGCUUGCUUCUUUGCUGACGAGUGGCGGACGGGUGUGUAAUGUCUGGGAAACUGCCUGAUGGAGGGGGAUAACUACUGGAAACGGUAGCUAAUACCGCAUAACGUCGCAACACCAAAGAGCAGGACCUUCGGGCCUCUUGCCAUCGGAUGUGCCCAGAAUGGAUUAGCUAGUAGGUGGGGUAACGGCUCACCUAGGCAACGAUCCCUAGCUGGUCUGAGAGGGUGACCAGCCACACUGGAACUGAGACACGGUCCAGACUCCUACGGGAGGCAGCAGUGGGGAAUAUUGCACAAUGGGCGCAAGCCUGAUGGAGCCAUGCCGCGUGUAUGAAGAAGGUCUUCGGGUUGUAAAGUACUUUCAGCGGGGAGGAAGGGAGGAAAGUGUAUCCCUUUGCUCAUUGACGUUACCCGCAGAAGAAGCCCCGGCUAACUCCGUG
RNAcentral lists this ribosomal RNA (490 nucleotides) under uncultured bacterium. RNAcentral's name for it is "partial 16S ribosomal RNA". It matches the Rfam family "Bacterial small subunit ribosomal RNA", at positions 30 to 507 of the family's 1533-position model. The record is from RNAcentral.